UACGUAGGGUGCGAGCGUUAAUCGGAAUUACCGGGCGUAAAGCGUGCGCAGGCGGUUUUGUAAGCCGGAUGUGAAAUCCCCGGGCUUAACCUGGGAAUGGCAUUCGGGACUGCAAGGCUGGAGUGCGGCAGAGGAGACUGGAAUUCCUGGUGUAGCAGUGAAAUGCGUAGAUAUCAGGAGGAACACCGAUGGCGAAGGCAGGUCUCUGGGCUGACACUGACGCUGAGACGCGAAAGCGUGGGGAGCAAACAGG
Molecule: ribosomal RNA, 253 nt
Filed under: uncultured bacterium
Lineage: Bacteria
Description: partial 16S ribosomal RNA
Rfam family: Bacterial small subunit ribosomal RNA
Source: RNAcentral